Molecule: ribosomal RNA, 262 nt
Filed under: uncultured Staphylococcus sp.
Lineage: Bacteria; Bacillati; Bacillota; Bacilli; Caryophanales; Staphylococcaceae
Description: partial 16S ribosomal RNA
Rfam family: Bacterial small subunit ribosomal RNA
Source: RNAcentral
CGGACGGGUGAGUAACACGUGGAUAACCUACCUAUAAGACUGGGAUAACUUCGGGAAACCGGAGCUAAUACCGGAUAAUAUAUUGAACCGCAUGGUUCAAUAGUGAAAGACGGUUUUGCUGUCACUUAUAGAUGGAUCCGCGCUGCAUUAGCUAGUUGGUAAGGUAACGGCUUACCAAGGCAACGAUGCGUAGCCGACCUGAGAGGGUGAUCGGCCACACUGGAACUGAGACACGGUCCAGACUCCUACGGGAGGCAGCAGG